CCCCGAACACCGCCCGGUGCCGGCGCUCCCGGCCUCCUGCGGCUGCAUGGGCAGCACGGUGCUUGCCCGCGUGGACACCGGCACAGGGGUUGUGAAAAGCAAUAACCUGUUCAAUUCUUCCUGUUGCCUGUUUUUCUGUUAAAAGUCUUGGCUGUCUUGCACUCUGCUCUGGAGCCCCAUAUAUCGGUGUUCUCAAUUCUUUUGGAAUAUUUCCCUGUCCUGUGAGCCUGUAGAGCAUGCUACCAGCCAAUUUUGGGGGAAGGAUUUACAUGAACUCCUUUAUUAUCCAUAUUUCUGCCAGGGGAGGUGGGGGUGUGACACAGGUGCCACGGGUGUGCAGCCACAGCUCCUAGGGACUUGCUGGUGUAAAUGAUGACUGAAUUUUUUCCCCAUCAGAGCGACAGUGCUGAUUUCUUGCUGUUCAAGCCAGAUCAUGUCUGAUGCAUCAGCUGGGAAGUGCUGCUGUGUCCCACACCCUGGUGUUACCAAAUGUCCAAAAUACUAGGAUCAGGGGCAUGUUSCUAAUGGUUUCCUUUGGCUUUACCCACAGGRCGCUGUGRAGGCAGAGGUGGGGGGUUGAACCUUGGGGAGACCUGAAKUUAAGGCUACAGCUGACAGUGGAAGACUAUGAGAGCGGUUGUCUGGUUUGCACCAUCCUGCCUGAAGUUCUAGCAAAUAAUGGUUGAGACUUGUAAGAAGUUGUCCUGGGUCCUGCUGGGGUUUCAGUGUUCUGCUAAAGAAGAUGGAUGGUUCURCUGCUCCUGUGCUGCUGCCUGGGAUCCUCAUCCAAGCCACAGCAUUCACAUCACCCUGUGACAGCUCUGGCCUUUCCUCAGCUGUCAUGAGUGAUGAAUUUGUGUCCUGCCUACUUAGAUGGAGGGUGUURCAUAUUUGUCCCCUGGGUACAAGGCCUGUAACUGGAAUGGAUUCUGGAAUUUGCUGCAUGUUUAAUGGAGUUAGAUGCCUUUGUCUGCAGGGGUUGCAUUCCCUGCAUGGCCGCUCAUGAUUCCUGCCACAGUCAUUAAAGGCAAGGAAGCCUCUCCUCAGAGCAGCUGCCAGGAAUGGGGGAAUGRCUUUGUGUGUAAGGAAAGAAGUCAGGGUUUGGUCCUCCCCUGCCAUCCAGAAAGCGUUUGUGGUGUGUCCCUGGCAGCUUGUGGAGUGGCAAGGGGUGUCUGGAAUGCUGUAGCAGCACAAUGUUUCUAUACUGUUAAAAGCCUGUUUUUAAUAAAAUCUGAGUACUGGG
This is a long non-coding RNA of Malurus melanocephalus (red-backed fairy wren), 1243 nucleotides long. RefSeq lists it as uncharacterized. The record is from RefSeq and is a predicted model, not a curated record. The transcript has 2 exons. NCBI's taxonomy places the organism in Eukaryota, Metazoa, Chordata, Aves, Passeriformes, Maluridae.